AGAGUUUGAUCCUGGCUCAGAACGAACGCUGGCGGCAGGCCUAAUACAUGCAAGUCGAGCGCUGUAGCAAUACAGAGCGGCGCACGGGAUAAUAACGCGUGGGAACCUACCUUUUGGUUCGGGAUAACAUCGGGAAACUGGUGCUAAUACCGGAUAAGCCCUCUGGGGGAAAGAUUUAUUGCCGAAAGAUGGGCCCGCGU
RNAcentral lists this ribosomal RNA (200 nucleotides) under uncultured bacterium. RNAcentral's name for it is "partial 16S ribosomal RNA". It matches the Rfam family "Bacterial small subunit ribosomal RNA", at positions 8 to 236 of the family's 1533-position model. The record is from RNAcentral.